Molecule: ribosomal RNA, 818 nt
Filed under: Microbacterium resistens
Lineage: Bacteria; Bacillati; Actinomycetota; Actinomycetes; Micrococcales; Microbacteriaceae
Description: bacterial SSU rRNA
Rfam family: Bacterial small subunit ribosomal RNA
Source: RNAcentral
AGGGAUGACGGCCUUCGGGUUGUAAACCUCUUUUAGCAGGGAAGAAGCGUGAGUGACGGUACCUGCAGAAAAAGCGCCGGCUAACUACGUGCCAGCAGCCGCGGUAAUACGUAGGGCGCAAGCGUUAUCCGGAAUUAUUGGGCGUAAAGAGCUCGUAGGCGGUUUGUCGCGUCUGCUGUGAAAUCCCGAGGCUCAACCUCGGGCCUGCAGUGGGUACGGGCAGACUAGAGUGCGGUAGGGGAGAUUGGAAUUCCUGGUGUAGCGGUGGAAUGCGCAGAUAUCAGGAGGAACACCGAUGGCGAAGGCAGAUCUCUGGGCCGUAACUGACGCUGAGGAGCGAAAGGGUGGGGAGCAAACAGGCUUAGAUACCCUGGUAGUCCACCCCGUAAACGUUGGGAACUAGUUGUGGGGUCCUUUCCACGGAUUCCGUGACGCAGCUAACGCAUUAAGUUCCCCGCCUGGGGAGUACGGCCGCAAGGCUAAAACUCAAAGGAAUUGACGGGGACCCGCACAAGCGGCGGAGCAUGCGGAUUAAUUCGAUGCAACGCGAAGAACCUUACCAAGGCUUGACAUACACGAGAACGGGCCAGAAAUGGUCAACUCUUUGGACACUCGUGAACAGGUGGUGCAUGGUUGUCGUCAGCUCGUGUCGUGAGAUGUUGGGUUAAGUCCCGCAACGAGCGCAACCCUCGUUCUAUGUUGCCAGCACGUUAUGGUGGGAACUCAUGGGAUACUGCCGGGGUCAACUCGGAGGAAGGUGGGGAUGACGUCAAAUCAUCAUGCCCCUUAUGUCUUGGGCUUCACGCAUGCUACAAUGG